This 406-nucleotide ribosomal RNA is filed under the name uncultured bacterium. RNAcentral describes it as "partial 16S ribosomal RNA". It matches the Rfam family "Bacterial small subunit ribosomal RNA", at positions 30 to 526 of the family's 1533-position model. The record is from RNAcentral.
AUUGAACGCUGGCGGCAGGCCUAACACAUGCAAGUCGAGCGAGCGGCGGACGGGUGAGUAAUGUCUGGGAAACUGCCUGAUGGAGGGAGAUCACUACUGGAAAAGGUCGCUAAUACCGCCUUCCAUCAGAUGUGCCCAGAUGGGAUGAGCUAGUAGGUGGGGUAAUGGCUCACCUAGGCGACGAUCCCUAGCUGGUCUGAGAGGAUGACCAGUCACACUGGAACUGAGACACGGUCCAGACUCCUAAGGUAGGCAGCAGUGGGGAAUAGUGCACAAUGGGCGAAAGCCUGAGGCAGCCAGGCCGCGUGUGUGAAGAAGGCCUUCGGGUUGUAAAGCACUUUCAGCGGGGAGGCGUUACCCGCAGAAGAAGCACCGGCUAACUCCGUGCCAGCAGCCGCGGUAAUAC